This 29-nucleotide small RNA is filed under the name Bombyx mori (domestic silkworm). Its description in RNAcentral is "ovarian small RNA-11997". Lineage: Eukaryota; Metazoa; Arthropoda; Insecta; Lepidoptera; Bombycidae. The record is from RNAcentral.
AGCAACACGAUGGGACGGUACCCGGUGGC